UACGAAGGGGGCUAGCGUUGCUCGGAAUCACUGGGCGUAAAGGGUGCGUAGGCGGGGCUUUAAGUCAGGGGUGAAAUCCUGGAGCUCAACUCCAGAACUGCCUUUGAUACUGAAGAUCUUGAGUUCGGGAGAGGUGAGUGGAACUGCGAGUGUAGAGGUGAAAUUCGUAGAUAUUCGCAAGAACACCAGUGGCGAAGGCGGCUCACUGGCCCGAUACUGACGCUGAUGCGCGAAAGCCAGGGGAGCGAACGGG
This 253-nucleotide ribosomal RNA is filed under the name uncultured bacterium. RNAcentral's name for it is "partial 16S ribosomal RNA". It matches the Rfam family "Bacterial small subunit ribosomal RNA", at positions 524 to 776 of the family's 1533-position model. The record is from RNAcentral.